AAGUUGAUCAUGGCUCAGGACAAACGCUGGCGGGGUGCAUGAGACAUGCAAGUCGAACGAGGUGCCAACGGGCUUGCUCGAUGGUUACCUAGUGGCGGACGGCUGAGUAACGCGUAGUGUGACCUACCCGGAAGUGGGGAAUAACUGCCCGAAAGUGGUGGCUAAUACCGCAUGUGGUCGGCGAUUCGGUUCGCCGUCUAAAGGAGAAAUUCGCUUCCGGCGGGGCCUGCGUCCGAUUAGCUAGUUGGUGGGGUAACGGCUCACCAAGCGACGAUCGGUAGCUGGUCUGAGAGGAUGAUCAGCCAGACUGGACUGAGAACGGCCAGACUCCUACGGGAGGCAGCAGUCGGGAAUUUUGCCCAAUGGACGAAAGUCUGAGGCAGCAACUCCGCGUGAGGGAUGAAGGCUCUCGGGUCGUAAACCUCUUUUCUCAGGAAGAUAUAAGACGGUACCUGAGGAAUAAGCGACGGCUAACUACGUGCCAGCAGCCGCGGUAAUACGUAGGUCGCAAGCGUUGUCCGGAUUUACUGGGCGUAAAGAGCGCGCAGGCGGCUGGUCAAGUCCGAUGUGAAUCUCCCGGUCACUGGAAACUGCAUCGGAACUGACCGGCUGAAGGUGGG
This 620-nucleotide ribosomal RNA is filed under the name uncultured bacterium. Its description in RNAcentral is "bacterial SSU rRNA". It matches the Rfam family "Bacterial small subunit ribosomal RNA", at positions 10 to 651 of the family's 1533-position model. The record is from RNAcentral.